Molecule: ribosomal RNA, 477 nt
Filed under: uncultured bacterium
Lineage: Bacteria
Description: partial 16S ribosomal RNA
Rfam family: Bacterial small subunit ribosomal RNA
Source: RNAcentral
AUGAACGCUGGCGGCGUGCCUAACACAUGCAAGUCGAACGGAGUCCAGCCUUUAAGACCUUCGGGUCAAAGAGGGGAAGACUGAGUGGCGGACGGGUGAGUAACACGUGGGCAACCUGGCUCAUAGAGGGGGAUAACAGAGAGAAAUUUCUGCUAAUACCGCAUAAGCACACACUGCCGCAUGGCAGAGGGUGAAAAGAGAAUCGCUAUGAGAUGGACCCGCGUCUGAUUAGCCAGUUGGCAGGGUAAGAGCCUACCAAAGCGACGAUCAGUAGCCGAUCUGAGAGGAUGAACGGCCACAUUGGGACUGAGACACGGCCCAAACUCCUACGGGGGGCAGCAGUGGGGGAUAUUGCACAAUGGGGGGAACCCUGAUGCAGCGACGCCGCGUGAGUGAAGAAGUAUUUCGGUAUGUAAAGCUCUAUCAGCAGGGAAGAUAAUGACAGUACCUGAAUAAGAAGCCCCGGCUAACUACGUG